This 375-nucleotide unclassified non-coding RNA is filed under the name fungal sp. Its description in RNAcentral is "partial internal transcribed spacer region". The stretch from base 1 to 46 matches the Rfam family "Eukaryotic small subunit ribosomal RNA", at positions 1786 to 1831 of the family's 1831-position model. The record is from RNAcentral. Lineage: Eukaryota; Fungi.
AAGUCGUAACAAGGUUUCCGUAGGUGAACCUGCGGAAGGAUCAUUAUUACGUAUCCACGUAUCAAACCAAAUCGUGAACUGUUUCCCAUUUGAUGAGGAUUUCUGCGAGUUUGUCUAAAACUUUAAUAAAAUGCAUGGUGAGUGGGUAGUUUCGGCUACUUACACUAGACACUCGGUUCCUGGAAGUCUUUUAACAAAAGUUUUCCAGCUCAUUGGAUGCGGUUUAUCUCACUGUGCUAAAAACAUUAACCCCUUGUAAACAAAUUGAACUAACUUACGGAGUACAGUUUUUAUUUUCUUAACUGAAACAAAAAAAACAGUCUCUGGAUAACUGAAACUUAAGAACAACUCUUAACAACGGAUAUCUUGGUUCUC